GAUGAACGCUGGCGGCGUGCCUAAUACAUGCAAGUCGAGCGAACGGACGAGAAGUUUGUUUCUCUGAUGUUAGCGGCGGACGGGCGAGUAACACGUGGAUAACCUACAUAUAAGACUGGGAUAACUUCGGGAAACCGGAGCUAAUACCGGAUAAUAUCUUGCACCGCAUGGUUCAAAAGUGAAAGACGGUCUUGCUGUCACUUAUAGAUGGAUCCACGCUGCAUUAGCUAGUUGGUAAGGUAACGGCUUACCAAGGCAACGAUGCAUAGCCGACCUGAGAGGAUGAUCGGCCACACUGGAACUGAGACGCGGUCCAGACUCCUACGGGAGGCAGCAGUAGGGAAUCUUCCGCAAUGGGCGAAAGCCUGACGGAGCAACGCCGCGUGAGUGAUGAAGGUCUUCGGAUCGUAAAACUCUGUUAUUAGGGAAAAACAUAUGUGUAAGUAACUAUGCACAUCUUGACGGUACCUAAUCAGAAAGCCACGGCUAACUACGUG
This 497-nucleotide ribosomal RNA is filed under the name uncultured bacterium. RNAcentral describes it as "partial 16S ribosomal RNA". It matches the Rfam family "Bacterial small subunit ribosomal RNA", at positions 28 to 507 of the family's 1533-position model. The record is from RNAcentral.